GAUCCACCCGCUCCCAUAAAGUGAGUUAUGCCCCUUGCCCAUUAGUUCCUUCUGUCAACACCAUCGUCGAGAUUUCUAAUAUUUAACAAGAGCAGGAACGAACAGCAAACACACUCAGAUAUAAGUCUAAGGCGUUCUCUACCGUCAUCUUCAGAUUGAUUUACCUGGGUACAUCUGAGCUUCUGUCCUGCAAGCUAAACAAGUGUGUACUCACCAUGAAGCUGCUGUUUGUCUUGCUGGUGAUCCCGAUGGUUUUGGCCGGGGAUUUCGCCAAGAUGUGGUCUGAGAUGGAGGAGAAACUUAAGAGUAAGGGGUGGGGGGAGGAGGAU
Molecule: long non-coding RNA, 329 nt
Organism: Physella acuta
Lineage: Eukaryota; Metazoa; Mollusca; Gastropoda; Physidae
Source: RefSeq, a predicted model, not a curated record